UACAGAGGUCUCAAGCGUUGUUCGGAAUUACUGGGCGUAAAGGGUGCGCAGGCUGCGCGGCAAGUCAAAUGUGAAAUUCAGGGGCUCAACCCCUGCAUUGCGCUUGAUACUUCCGCGCUCGAGCCUUGGAAAGGAGUCUGGAAUUCUCGGUGUAGCGGUGAAAUGCUUAGAUAUCGUCAAGAACACCGAUAGUGAAGACAGCUAACUAAGCUUUAACUGACGCUGAGGCACGAAAGUGUGGGGAUCAAACAGG
RNAcentral lists this ribosomal RNA (253 nucleotides) under uncultured bacterium. RNAcentral's name for it is "partial 16S ribosomal RNA". It matches the Rfam family "Bacterial small subunit ribosomal RNA", at positions 524 to 776 of the family's 1533-position model. The record is from RNAcentral.